Molecule: ribosomal RNA, 467 nt
Filed under: uncultured bacterium
Lineage: Bacteria
Description: partial 16S ribosomal RNA
Rfam family: Bacterial small subunit ribosomal RNA
Source: RNAcentral
GACGAACGCUGGCGGCGUGCUUAACACAUGCAAGUCGAACGGAAAGGCCUCUUUCGGGGGGUACUCGAGUGGCGAACGGGUGAGUAACACGUGAGUAACCUGCCCUUGACUUUGGGAUAACUUCAGGAAACUGGGGCUAUUACCGGAUAGGAGCUCCUGCUGCAGGGUGGGGGUUGGAAAGUUUCGGCGGUUGGGGAUGGACUCGCGGCUUAUCAGCUUGUUGGUGGGGUAGUGGCUUACCAAGGCUUUGACGGGUAGCCGGCCUGAGAGGGUGACCGGCCACAUUGGGACUGAGAUACGGCCCAGACUCCUACGGGAGGCAGCAGUGGGGAAUAUUGCACAAUGGGUGGAAGCCUGAUGCAGCAACGCCGUGUGCGGGAUGACGGCCUUCGGGUUGUAAACCGCUUUCGCUCAUGACGAAGCUUUGUGUGACGGUAGUGGGUAAAGAAGCACCGGCUAACUACGUG